GUAUGGCUCUCGGAACCAAAAUAAUGAUUGCUCUUGAGGAAAUCGACUACGAAGUCUUGAAUCUGUGGUCAAUAUGUAUUCAGCUGGCAGUUCAUCCACAAGCACAGGAUUGCGGGUCUUGUUAUUUAGAAAAGCUCUCUUGAAUGGCAAAUGGUCUUCAAACCCUUUCUUUACAAGAGGCCAUAAAUCACUGACAUCUUCAACGGCAAUGACGACGUGAUCGCAAGUAGUUUUAAUACUUUGAAACUGAGCUAAGAAGUUCGCCAUUACCGAUCUGCAGAAAACAUAUGUGUUGAACUGAGAUCGGCAAUUCCCGGAGACGAAGAUCCUCUUUACGAUUCG
Molecule: unclassified non-coding RNA, 342 nt
Filed under: Hevea brasiliensis (rubber tree)
Lineage: Eukaryota; Viridiplantae; Streptophyta; Magnoliopsida; Malpighiales; Euphorbiaceae
Source: RNAcentral